ACUGGAUCGGAGGGACCCUCAUAUCCUUCUGGUCGAACCGAAAGAGUUAAGUGCUCUGCCUGGGGAGUAUGGUCGCAAGGCUGAAACUCAAAGGAAUUGACGGGGGCUCACACAAGCGGUGGAGGAUGUGGCUUAAUUCGAGGCUACGCGAAGAACCUUAUCCUAGUCUUGACAUGCACGGAUUAACUCUUGGAAACAGGAGCCAGGCCUUCGGGUACAACGUGCACAGGUGCUGCAUGGCUGUCGUCAG
This 250-nucleotide ribosomal RNA is filed under the name uncultured bacterium. RNAcentral's name for it is "partial 16S ribosomal RNA". It matches the Rfam family "Bacterial small subunit ribosomal RNA", at positions 815 to 1058 of the family's 1533-position model. The record is from RNAcentral.